Molecule: ribosomal RNA, 253 nt
Filed under: uncultured bacterium
Lineage: Bacteria
Description: partial 16S ribosomal RNA
Rfam family: Bacterial small subunit ribosomal RNA
Source: RNAcentral
UACGAAGGGGGCUAGCGUUGCUCGGAAUCACUGGGCGUAAAGCGCGCGUAGGCGGGUCUGUAUGUCGAUUGUGAAAGCCCUGGGCUUAACCUGGGAAUUGCAGUCGAAACUGCAGAUCUUGAAUGCUUGAGAGGAUGGCGGAAUUCCCGGUGUAGUAGUGAAAUACGUAGAUAUCGGGAAGAACACCUGAGGCGAAGGCGGCUUGCUGGGCUGACACUGACGCUGAGGCGCGAAAGCUAGGGUAGCAAACGGG